ACUGGUUUUUGGAGGGGCCUGUUUGCCAGCCUCCUGCCCUGCGACUAUGGCCCUGGGAUGUAUUGCCCUUUAAGGAACUGAUUUGGGCAUACUGUAUUUUAUUAUGCUGCUGCUGGCCCUUUAAGAACCAUCUGGGGACAUACUGUGGAGUUACUGGGUGGCCACCAUUUCAUGUAUCAGAGGCACAUGGUGAGAACAAUG
Molecule: non-coding RNA, 201 nt
Organism: Pelobates cultripes (western spadefoot toad)
Lineage: Eukaryota; Metazoa; Chordata; Amphibia; Anura; Pelobatidae
Source: the annotation of a GenBank genome assembly